RNAcentral lists this non-coding RNA (105 nucleotides) under Alicyclobacillus hesperidum. Its description in RNAcentral is "TPP sequence". It matches the Rfam family "TPP riboswitch aptamer (THI element)". From Rfam's summary of the family: Vitamin B(1) in its active form thiamin pyrophosphate (TPP) is an essential coenzyme that is synthesised by coupling of pyrimidine and thiazole moieties in bacteria. The previously detected thiamin-regulatory element, thi box was extended, resulting in a new, highly conserved RNA secondary structure, the THI element, which is widely distributed in eubacteria and also occurs in some archaea. The record is from Rfam by way of RNAcentral. Lineage: Bacteria; Bacillati; Bacillota; Bacilli; Caryophanales; Alicyclobacillaceae.
AUAGGGGACUAGGGGUGCCGACGUUGGCUGAGAGGUGACAUAGUCACCAACCCUUUCGGACUCGACCUGGAUAAUACCAGCGUGAGGAAGUGCCCACCGUCGCUA